Molecule: transfer RNA, 72 nt
Organism: Haliscomenobacter hydrossis DSM 1100
Lineage: Bacteria; Pseudomonadati; Bacteroidota; Saprospiria; Saprospirales; Haliscomenobacteraceae
Rfam family: tRNA
About the family: Transfer RNA (tRNA) molecules are approximately 80 nucleotides in length.
Source: Rfam
UGGCUUGUAGCUCAAUGGUAGAGCAGUGCUCUGUUAAGGCAUUGGUUAUAGGUUCAAAUCCUAUCGGGCCAG